CCUACGGGAGGCUGCAGUGAGGAAUAUUGGUCAAUGGACGAGAGUCUGAACCAGCCAAGUAGCGUGAAGGAUGACUGCCCUAUGGGUUGUAAACUUCUUUUAUAAAGGAAUAAAACGAGGCACGUGUGCCUUUUUGCAUGUACUUUAUGAAUAAGGAUCGGCUAACUCCGUGCCAGCAGCCGCGGUAAUACGGAGGAUCCGAGCGUUAUCCGGAUUUAUUGGGUUUAAAGGGAGCGUAGAUGGGUUGUUAAGUCAGUUGUGAAAGUUUGUGGCUCAACCGUAAAAUUGCAAUUGAUACUGGCAGUCUUGAGUACAGUUGAGGUAGGCGGAAUUCGUGGUGUAGCGGUGAAAUGCUUAGAUAUCACGAAGAACCCCGAUUGCGAAGGCAGCUUACUAAACUGUGACUGACGUUGAGGCUCGAAAGCGUGGGGAGCAAACAGGAUUAGAUACCCCAGUAGUC
Molecule: ribosomal RNA, 460 nt
Filed under: uncultured bacterium
Lineage: Bacteria
Description: partial 16S ribosomal RNA
Rfam family: Bacterial small subunit ribosomal RNA
Source: RNAcentral